GGCGAGGUGGCUCAGUGGUUAGAGCGCAUAUUUACUAACCAUAAGGUCUGCGGUUCGAACUCGACCUCUGCCA
Molecule: transfer RNA, 73 nt
Filed under: Opisthorchis viverrini
Lineage: Eukaryota; Metazoa; Platyhelminthes; Trematoda; Opisthorchiida; Opisthorchiidae
Rfam family: tRNA
About the family: Transfer RNA (tRNA) molecules are approximately 80 nucleotides in length. Their secondary structure includes four short double-helical elements and three loops (D, anti-codon, and T loops). Further hydrogen bonds mediate the characteristic L-shaped molecular structure. tRNAs have two regions of fundamental functional importance: the anti-codon, which is responsible for specific mRNA codon recognition, and the 3' end, to which the tRNAs corresponding amino acid is attached (by aminoacyl-tRNA synthetases). tRNAs cope with the degeneracy of the genetic code in two manners: having more than one tRNA (with a specific anti-codon) for a particular amino acid; and 'wobble' base-pairing, i.e. permitting non-standard base-pairing at the 3rd anti-codon position.
Source: Rfam by way of RNAcentral